RNAcentral lists this ribosomal RNA (164 nucleotides) under uncultured bacterium. RNAcentral describes it as "partial 16S rRNA". It matches the Rfam family "Bacterial small subunit ribosomal RNA", at positions 355 to 511 of the family's 1533-position model. The record is from RNAcentral.
UAGGGAAUCUUCCACAAUGGACGAAAGUCUGAUGGAGCAACGCCGCGUGAGUGAAGAAGGGUUUCGGCUCGUAAAACUCUGUUGUUAAAGAAGAACAUAUCUGAGAGUAACCGUUCAGGUAUUGACGGUAUUUAACCAGAAAGCCACGGCUAACUACGUGCUAG